AACGAACGCUGGCGGCAGGCUUAACACAUGCAAGUCGAACGGGCGUAGCAAUACGUCAGUGGCAGACGGGUGAGUAACACGUGGGAACCUUCCUAGGGGUACGGAACAACUCAGGGAAACUUGAGCUAAUACCGUAUACGUCCGUGAGGAGAAAGAUUUAUCGCCCUUAGACGGGCCCGCGUCGGAUUAGGUAGUUGGUGGGGUAACGGCCUACCAAGCCUACGAUCCGUAGCUGAUCUGAGAGGANGAUCAGCCACACUGGGACUGAGACACGGCCCAGACUCCUACGGGAGGCAGCAGUGGGGAAUCUUGGACAAUGGGCGCAAGCCUGAUCCAGCCAUGCCGCGUGAGUGAAGAAGGCC
Molecule: ribosomal RNA, 362 nt
Filed under: uncultured bacterium
Lineage: Bacteria
Description: bacterial SSU rRNA
Rfam family: Bacterial small subunit ribosomal RNA
Source: RNAcentral